This 733-nucleotide ribosomal RNA is filed under the name uncultured low G+C Gram-positive bacterium. RNAcentral's name for it is "bacterial SSU rRNA". It matches the Rfam family "Bacterial small subunit ribosomal RNA", at positions 57 to 765 of the family's 1533-position model. Lineage: Bacteria; Bacillati; Bacillota. The record is from RNAcentral.
GCAGUCGAACGAGAAAGCUCCCUUCGGGGAGUGAGUAAAGUGGCAGACGGGUGAGUAACACGUGGGCAACCUACCCCGAGGUGGGGGAUAACUCUCCGAAAGGAGGGCUAAUACCGCAUAACAUCCCGAGAUCGAUGGGUCACGGGAUCAAAGCAGGCCUCUUCUUGAAAGCUUGCGCCAUGGGAUGGGCCCGCGCCCCAUUAGCUUGUUGGUGAGGUAACGGCUCACCAAGGCCGCGAUGGGUAGCCGGCCUGAGAGGGCGUUCGGCCACACUGGAACUGAGACACGGUCCAGACUCCUACGGGAGGCAGCAGUGAGGAAUUUUGCGCAAUGGGCGAAAGCCUGACGCAGCGACGCCGCGUGGAGGAAGAAGGCCUUCGGGUCGUAAACUCCUGUCAGGAGGGACGAAUGUCGGGCGGCUGAAUAAGCCGUCCGGUUGACGGUACCUCUGGAGGAAGCCCCGGCUAACUCCGUGCCAGCAGCCGCGGUAAUACGGAGGGGGCCAGCGUUGUUCGGAAUUAUUGGGCGUAAAGGGCGCGUAGGCGGCUCUUCAAGUCAAAGGUGAAAUCCCUCGGCUCAACCGGGGAACUGCCUUUGAUACUGUCGAGCUUGAGUCCCGGAGAGGGUAGCGGAAUUCCGAGUGUAGCGGUGAAAUGCGUAGAUACUCGGAGGAACACCCGUGGCGAAGGCGGCUACCUGGACGGGUACUGACGCUGAGGCGCGAAAGCUAGGG